This 775-nucleotide ribosomal RNA is filed under the name uncultured Neocallimastigales. Its description in RNAcentral is "partial large subunit ribosomal RNA". It matches the Rfam family "Eukaryotic large subunit ribosomal RNA", at positions 22 to 628 of the family's 3401-position model. The record is from RNAcentral. Lineage: Eukaryota; Fungi; Neocallimastigomycota; Neocallimastigomycetes; Neocallimastigales.
GUACACGCUGUGACUAGCAUAUCAAUAAGCGGAGGAAAAGAAACUAACAAGGAUUCCCCUAGUAACGGCGAGUGAAGCGGGAAGAGCUCAAAUUUGAAAUCUUAAAGGGUUUCCCUUUACGAAUUGUAGUUUAAAGAAGUGUUUUCUGUUGAGGUUUUGGUAAAAGUUCUUUGGAAUAGGACAUCAUAGAGGGUGAGAAUCCCGUAUUUGACCUUUACUUUCAACUUUGUGAUACACUUUCAAAGAGUCGGAUUGUCUGGGAAUGCAGUCCAAAAUGGGUGGUAAAUUUCAUCUAAAGCUAAAUAUUGGCGAGAGACCGAUAGCGAACAAGUACCGUGAGGGAAAGAUGAAAAGAACUUUGAAAAGAGAGUUAAACAGUACGUGAAAUUGUCAAAAGGGAAGCGUUUGACACCAGUGUUGUUUUUCUGAAAAUCAAUUAAAGAACUGUUUAUGCUAAGCUGUUUAGACUUUAUCAGCUAAUCUGUUUAGUUUUGAGCUUUUCUUUAAUGCACUUUUCAGUUAACAAGUCAACAUCAAUUUCUUUUGCUGUAAAAAAGCUUGAGGAAGGUGGCUUGAGAUUCGUCUUAAGUGUUUAUAGCCUCUUGCCUAUGCAGUCGGAGAGAUUGAGGUCUGCAGCGUAGAUCCUUCGGGGCUAAAUGCAUUUGUGCUAAGUUAUAGCAUUUUAUAGACAACUUGUUGACUAUGAUUUGUCUUGUAGCUUACUCGCUUAUGUUAUUUUACCUACGCUUAGGAUGUUGAGUCGUAGAGCACGCAG